Molecule: long non-coding RNA, 621 nt
Organism: Onychostoma macrolepis
Lineage: Eukaryota; Metazoa; Chordata; Actinopteri; Cypriniformes; Cyprinidae
Exons: 3
Source: RefSeq, a predicted model, not a curated record
AGGAUUGAUUGCCACAUCCCCAUGAUGUUUCUGCUGUGUGUCUUUGUGUUUCUUUCGGCUAAUAAGGAAGAAUGAUGCAAGGGCAAGAAAUAUUCCAGCAGUGAUCAGCUCUCCUCCAGCCAUGUGCAACAAUUGAGCAGAAGACCACCAGUGAUGAGAAAGCCUCCUCUCCAUCCAUAGUGGUCGAGCAGCUUUUGUCCUAAUGGAGAAAGAGCGGACAGAAAUACAGGGCUUCCAGCUGCUGCCAGUCCAUUUGCAAGUGGUCUGCGUUUGUCAAAGUAAGACCCCAGCAUAAUUAGUGAUGGUUGGAAGUUCAAAGCCAGUCCAAGACCUUUACAGAGACAAAGGUUAUGGAGUCACAGCAUGUUUCGGCUAGAGUGAAACGCAGGGCGGCGGUCCGUUAGCAGUUCCCGCCGAACAUGACUCCAGCUCGGGCAGAGAACCAGCGCUGCGCGGCGCCGUUACGGUGGAAACAGAAUAACAGACACUGGUCGAUUAGGCUACACGUGAAUUACUUCUGUUUAAUGUUUAUUUUUUACUUUUAAUGUUUGUUAAAGAGUUUAAAUAUAGGCAAUAUGUAUAGCCUAUUAAAAACGACAUAUACAAUGCUGUAAAUGAUAA